Molecule: long non-coding RNA, 398 nt
Filed under: Vitis vinifera (wine grape)
Lineage: Eukaryota; Viridiplantae; Streptophyta; Magnoliopsida; Vitales; Vitaceae
Description: long non-coding RNA (VVIN_LNC006362)
Source: RNAcentral
GGGUCGGCCGAGAGCCCGGCGGUGUCCCACCCGUAGUCCCCGGGGAAUUCACCAGUCAGGUAGGACGGCGGCUCACCCGAGAACGGGCCCAAGUACUUGACCCGGUCGGUGCCAUACCAGGGGCUCCCGGAGGAGACAGGCUUGGCCCGGCCGCCAGUCUUCCGCAUAGUCACCCGCCCUUCUCCUAGGAGAUCGGAGGCAGAGGGGGCAAGCUUGAGGGCCUUGCCGGCUAGGGAGGGGGAGGAGAGAGCCAUUGUGGAGGCAGCCAUUGGAAGUGAGAAGGGAAGGACAGAUUGAAGACGAGGAGAAAGUGGGAUUGUGUGGAGAGAUGAUGGUGUUGGGGGGCAUUAAAUAGGGUGGGAGGUGGUGGCUAUUGUUAUCUUUGGGAUAUAGAGCAU